UACGUAGGGGGCUAGCGUUGUCCGGAAUCAUUGGGCGUAAAGAGCGUGUAGGCGGCCCGGUAAGUCCGCUGUAAAAGUCAAAGGCUCAACCUUUGAAUGGCAGUGGAUACUGCCGGGCUAGAGUCCGGAAGAGGCGAGUGGAACUCCUGGUGUAGCGGUGGAAUGCGCAGAUAUCAGGAAGAACACCAGCGGCGAAGGCAGCUCGCUGGGACGGUACUGACGCUGAGACGCGAAAGCGUGGGGAGCGAACAGG
This 253-nucleotide ribosomal RNA is filed under the name uncultured bacterium. RNAcentral's name for it is "partial 16S ribosomal RNA". It matches the Rfam family "Bacterial small subunit ribosomal RNA", at positions 524 to 776 of the family's 1533-position model. The record is from RNAcentral.